GCCUGUCUAGUAAACAGGAGAUCCUGGG
Molecule: non-coding RNA, 28 nt
Filed under: Cricetulus griseus (Chinese hamster)
Lineage: Eukaryota; Metazoa; Chordata; Mammalia; Rodentia; Cricetidae
Source: RNAcentral